RNAcentral lists this unclassified non-coding RNA (343 nucleotides) under soil metagenome. RNAcentral's name for it is "partial contains 5.8S ribosomal RNA, internal transcribed spacer 2, and large subunit ribosomal RNA". The stretch from base 1 to 120 matches the Rfam family "5.8S ribosomal RNA", at positions 35 to 154 of the family's 154-position model. The record is from RNAcentral.
GAUGAAGAACGCAGCGAAACGCGAUAAGUAAUGUGAAUUGCAGAAUCCAGUGAAUCAUCGAAUCUUUGAACGCACAUUGCGCCCGCCAGCAUUCUGGCGGGCAUGCCUGUUCGAGCGUCAUUUCAACCCUCGACCUCCCCUUGGGGAGGUCGGCGUUGGGGACCGGCAGCACACCGCCGGCCCUGAAAUGGAGUGGCGGCCCGUCCGCGGCGACCUCUGCGCAGUAAUACAGCUCGCACCGGGACCCCGACGCGGCCACGCCGUAAAACACGCAACUUCUGAACGUUGACCUCGAAUCAGGUAGGACUACCCGCUGAACUUAAGCAUAUCAAUAAGCGGAGGA